Molecule: long non-coding RNA, 1002 nt
Organism: Hemicordylus capensis (graceful crag lizard)
Lineage: Eukaryota; Metazoa; Chordata; Lepidosauria; Squamata; Cordylidae
Exons: 6
Source: RefSeq, a predicted model, not a curated record
GAUAAGCAAGAUGCAAGACUGGAGAACAGAAAUUAAAAACCACCUUAAAUGAAUAUAGAUCCUCCUUCAUUCUCUCUCUCUCUCUUUCUCUCUCUCUCAGGGAAAGAAUAGCAGCCUUAAAAAAAAACCCAGUAUGUUUGUUGUUAACUUGCAUUCUUUAUUUGUUCAGUUAAAGAGUCUGUUUUUGUUGCAUUCAGAAAGUCAGAAUUCAUCUGUGGCUUAAAUCUGUGCAUAUUCUUCUGAUAGCGAUACCCUUGCUUGAAAAAUGAGGAGAAAGAAGCUGUUGAUUUGCUCAGGAUCAUGGAGACAAGAAGUAUCCAAGGGCAGUGAACUGAAGCCCCUGCUAAGAUCUGGAUACUGCAUCCUUCUGUCAACAAAGCAGGCAGUGUUAAAGAAACAAGAUUCGGAUUCAAGAUGUAGGCAAGACUUUACAUUUAGACAUAAAGAAAGAAGUGCAUUGAUGGAACAGCUUCAAUAAUUUUCCCCGAUAUGUUGCAGACAAAAUUCGCACUGCAACUGAAUGAAACACAUGGGGAAAAUAGUUUGGAUCCUCACAGCCGGAUCCUAACCACCUUUUCUUAUGACUAUGAUCUAUUAACCUCCAUGGGACUUCCUUUCAGUGAAGCUCCUUGAGAACCAGCCUGUGAAAAGUGUCCUUUCUUCUGCUAUUGGUCAGGACCCAUCUUCCAGUGAGCCCCAGUGUAGUGGUGGAUUAGAAGAAGGUGACACUCCACUCUUCCUGCCACCUGCUCAUCAAGCCUUGUGCUACCAAACUGGCAGUAGUGGCAUGGGUGUCAGUGUAGCCACUGCUGACACUACCACCACCUCAGACUCUCGUCUCUGACCUCUCCUCCUAGCAAACUGCUUCUAGCUUUUCCACCUUCCCUGCAGGGGGCGCCGAGUGGAGCAACAGAAAGCAUGUACUCAAACUUCCUGUCACUCAGGUCUGUUUUUUCAAAAGGUAGGAAAAACAAAUAAAUGGCUCUCUAGGCCGAGAGGAUA